Molecule: ribosomal RNA, 253 nt
Filed under: uncultured bacterium
Lineage: Bacteria
Description: partial 16S ribosomal RNA
Rfam family: Bacterial small subunit ribosomal RNA
Source: RNAcentral
UACGUAGGGAGCAAGCGUUGUUCGGAUUUACUGGGCGUAAAGGGCGCGUAGGCGGCAUGGCAAGUGGAAGGUGAAAUCCCUCGGCUCAACUGAGGAACUGCCCUCCAAACUGCUUUGCUUGAGUCCGGGAGAGGUGAGUGGAAUUCCCAGUGUAGCGGUGAAAUGCGUAGAUAUUGGGAGGAACACCAGUGGCGAAGGCGACUCACUGGACCGUAACUGACGCUGAGGCGCUAAAUCGUGGGUAGCAAACUUU